Molecule: ribosomal RNA, 1092 nt
Filed under: human oral metagenome
Description: bacterial LSU rRNA
Rfam family: Bacterial large subunit ribosomal RNA
Source: RNAcentral
GCCCGUACCGUAAACCGACACAGGUGGGUGGGAUGAGUAUUCUAAGGCGCGUGGAAGAACUCUCUUUAAGGAACUCUGCAAAAUAGCACCGUAUCUUCGGUAUAAGGUGUGCCUAGCUUCGUUAAGAAUUUACUUCGUAAGCGAAGAAGGUUACAACAAAGAGUCCCUCCCGACUGUUUACCAUAAACACAGCACUCUGCUAACUCGUAAGAGGAUGUAUAGGGUGUGACGCCUGCCCGGUGCUCGAAGGUUAAUUGAUGAUGUUAGCUUAUGCAAAGCAUCUGAUCGAAGCCCGAGUAAACGGCGGCCGUAACUAUAACGGUCCUAAGGUAGCGAAAUUCCUUGUCGGUUAAAUACCGACCUGCAUGAAUGGCGUAACGAGAUGGGAGCUGUCUCAAAGAGGGAUCCAGUGAAAUUGUAGUGGAGGUGAAAAUUCCUCCUACCCGCGGCAAGACGGAAAGACCCCGUGGACCUUUACUAUAGCUUGACACUGCUACUUGGAUAAAGAUGCGCAGGAUAGGUGGGAGGCUUUGAGUCGUAGAUCUCGGUUUACGAUGAGCCAUUGUUGAGAUACCACUCUUCUUUAUUCGGGUAGCUAACUAGCCUAAGUUAUCCUUAGGUAGGACAAUGUCUGGUGGGUAGUUUGACUGGGGCGGUCGCCUCCCAAAAUGUAACGGAGGCUUACAAAGGUUGGCUCAAAGCGGUUGGAAAUCGCUUGUAGAGUAUAAAGGCAAAAGCCAGCUUAACUGCGAGACAUACACGUCGAGCAGAGACGAAAGUCGGUCUUAGUGAUCCGGUGGUUCUGUGUGGAAGGGCCAUCGCUCAAAGGAUAAAAGGUACCCCGGGGAUAACAGGCUGAUCUCCCCCAAGAGCUCACAUCGACGGGGAGGUUUGGCACCUCGAUGUCGGCUCAUCGCAUCCUGGGGCUGUAGUCGGUCCCAAGGGUUGGGCUGUUCGCCCAUUAAAGCGGUACGCGAGCUGGGUUCAGAACGUCGUGAGACAGUUCGGUCCCUAUCUGCCGUGGGCGUAAGAAGAUUGAGGAGAGUUGACCCUAGUACGAGAGGACCGGGUUGAACCGACCACUGGUGUACC